Falco peregrinus (peregrine falcon) is the source of this 1641-nucleotide long non-coding RNA. RefSeq lists it as uncharacterized. NCBI's taxonomy places the organism in Eukaryota, Metazoa, Chordata, Aves, Falconiformes, Falconidae. The transcript is spliced from 6 exons. The record is from RefSeq and is a predicted model, not a curated record.
CUGGAGUGUCACCAGGUCUCUUCUCUGGCUAGUGUCCCCACAGGGCGAGACCCGCUGGGAACCUUCUGUGCACAGCGCUGUACCGGGGUGCCCAAGGAGGGCUAAAGGGGCCAUCGGGAGAGUCUGAUCUGGAAAAUUCCCCAGUGCAGCCUGAUACGACGUGUUAAUUCAUCCUCCGCUUUCACAACAAGCUAAUAAAGCAUCAAGAGAAACAUCAGACUCUAAUUCUUCUAUACAAAAGAGCUGUGUUUGACUCAAACAUUUUCCAUCUUGAACUUCCUUUACCAGGUUGCCCUGGAACUGAAGCAUUGAUGUCUCUGAGGAGCUGGAUACACACGUUUUCCUUCUGUCACCAGGUGAGGGCAAGAGGAAACAUUUGCUCAGCCAGAACUGCUGGAGAAGAGUGUUCAACCUCAAUGGGAAACAUUGUCCAGCCAACCUUCUAAUUUCCCCAGACCCAUAUUGCCCUUGCCUGUAAAGUCAAGAAGACAUCUUCAGAAAACACCUUCUUGCCUAAUAUGUUCAGCAAGCUAAACUGGAAGGAGAGAAGCAAAACCAGUUUGGAGCAGAGCAAGCGGAACAUGAAGGCAAAUGAAACUUUAGCGUGGUGGUUCAGCUCCAAGCAGCAUCCCUGUGCCCUGGCACACAGCAACGGGGGCCGCAGCGGUGGCAGGAGAGAGGAGGGCUGAGGGAUGGCAUCCAGGUGACAGCCAAAGCAUCAGUGUCACUACGGAGACAAAGGCAGAAGCAGCAUGAGGAAAUUAGCAUCACUUUUGGUGGUCCAGGAGGGAGGACAGUCUAGCCCCAAGUCUAGGAUGGGAUGUGUAGAAACAGCUGCAGUCACCAGAACCGCUUUCCUGGGGUGUCAAAAAAAAAUAAAUAUAAAAAAGGGAUCAUUGCUGCAGAAAGAGGAGUCUGCAGGACUGGAGGCUUUAGGGAAAGGUAUAGAUAUGAUCUUCUCAAGUGACUGUAGAGUUUUCACUUGGAAAAUGGGUAAUAUUGUAAAAAACCUACAUUUCUUGUUAAAUAUUGAACUAUCUUUCAUAGUAAUGGAUUGCUACCUUAUCCUUUGGGACAGGUGCCAAAAAAUGGUACCUGGGGUGUGUCUCUUGGGUACCAGCUUUCUUAGGAGGAAAUACACUGAGUGACAGGUAAGAUCAAAAAUAAUGAUUUGCCUCUUAUUCUUCCUUUAACCCGAUGUGAGCACGGCAAAGGCUGGAAAUCCAGGUGAAAAGCUCACAUUAAGUCAACUUUCUGCUUUCUCCCAGUAGCAUCUCAGAUGUCUUAAUAUUUGGAGUGUCAUUUAGAGGUCAACUUUAUUUUGACAAGGCCAUGUCCCCGGGAUGCUUGGGAUCACAGUCAACCUCUAACAGCUCGAUGCAUUGUCAGAGAAGUGUGCAGAGUCGUAGGUGCCCACUCUCUGCAAGUAAACUGUCAUCUUCGUUGGAGUAAACGAGGAGGGUCUGGGGCAUCGGACGUGGCUACAGUAUUGGCGCUUCCAUUCCUGCAACCGUCGCUGAUUAUAAUCAUCUGCAGCCACUUCGGGGGUAUCAGAGUGGAACUUUUUAAUAAAUGUAAGUGCAUAAUGGUAUAGAAAAUUUGCUACCAUAUGAAGCAGCUCUAAAACUGAUGAUGAUAUCA